AACGAACGCUGGCGGCAUGCCUAACACAUGCAAGUCGAACGACACCUUCGUGUCUAGUGGCGCACGGGUGCGUAACGCGUGGGAACCUGCCCUUAUGUUCGGGAUAACUCCCCGACAGGGGUGCUAAUACCGGAUAAUUUCUUCGGACCAAAGAUUUAUCGCCUUUGGAUGGGCCCGCGUUGGAUUAGCUAGUUGGUAGGGUAAAAGCCUACCAAGGCGACGAUCCAUAGCUGGUCUGAGAGGAUGAUCAGCCACACUGGGACUGAGACACGGCCCAGACUACUACGGGAGGCAGCAGUGGGGAAUAUUGGACAAUGGGCGAAAGCCUGAUCCGGCAAUGCCGCGUGAGUGAUGAAGGCCUUAGGGUUGUAAAGCUCUUUUACCCGGGAUGAUAAUGACAGUACCGGGAGAAUAAGCACCGGCUAACUCCGUG
Molecule: ribosomal RNA, 433 nt
Filed under: uncultured bacterium
Lineage: Bacteria
Description: partial 16S ribosomal RNA
Rfam family: Bacterial small subunit ribosomal RNA
Source: RNAcentral